Molecule: transfer RNA, 73 nt
Filed under: Pseudomonadota bacterium
Lineage: Bacteria; Pseudomonadati; Pseudomonadota
Description: tRNA-Val
Rfam family: tRNA
About the family: Transfer RNA (tRNA) molecules are approximately 80 nucleotides in length. Their secondary structure includes four short double-helical elements and three loops (D, anti-codon, and T loops).
Source: RNAcentral
GGGCGCGUAGCUCAGCGGGAAAGCACUCCCUUCACACGGGAGAGGUCACAGGUUCGAUCUGUCGCGCCCACCA